RNAcentral lists this ribosomal RNA (2932 nucleotides) under Escherichia coli. RNAcentral describes it as "23S ribosomal RNA". It matches the Rfam family "Bacterial large subunit ribosomal RNA". The record is from RNAcentral. Lineage: Bacteria; Pseudomonadati; Pseudomonadota; Gammaproteobacteria; Enterobacterales; Enterobacteriaceae.
GGGUUGUGAGGUUAAGCGACUAAGCGUACACGGUGGAUGCCCUGGCAGUCAGAGGCGAUGAAGGACGUGCUAAUCUGCGAUAAGCGUCGGUAAGGUGAUAUGAACCGUUAUAACCGGCGAUUUCCGAAUGGGGAAACCCAGUGUGAUUCGUCACACUAUCAUUAACUGAAUCCAUAGGUUAAUGAGGCGAACCGGGGGAACUGAAACAUCUAAGUACCCCGAGGAAAAGAAAUCAACCGAGAUUCCCCCAGUAGCGGCGAGCGAACGGGGAGGAGCCCAGAGCCUGAAUCAGUGUGUGUGUUAGUGGAAGCGUCUGGAAAGGCGCGCGAUACAGGGUGACAGCCCCGUACACAAAAAUGCACAUGCUGUGAGCUCGAUGAGUAGGGCGGGACACGUGGUAUCCUGUCUGAAUAUGGGGGGACCAUCCUCCAAGGCUAAAUACUCCUGACUGACCGAUAGUGAACCAGUACCGUGAGGGAAAGGCGAAAAGAACCCCGGCGAGGGGAGUGAAAAAGAACCUGAAACCGUGUACGUACAAGCAGUGGGAGCACAGAGCAAUCUGUGUGACUGCGUACCUUUUGUAUAAUGGGUCAGCGACUUAUAUUCUGUAGCAAGGUUAACCGAAUAGGGGAGCCGAAGGGAAACCGAGUCUUAACUGGGCGUUAAGUUGCAGGGUAUAGACCCGAAACCCGGUGAUCUAGCCAUGGGCAGGUUGAAGGUUGGGUAACACUAACUGGAGGACCGAACCGACUAAUGUUGAAAAAUUAGCGGAUGACUUGUGGCUGGGGGUGAAAGGCCAAUCAAACCGGGAGAUAGCUGGUUCUCCCCGAAAGCUAUUUAGGUAGCGCCUCGUGAAUUCAUCUCCGGGGGUAGAGCACUGUUUCGGCAAGGGGGUCAUCCCGACUUACCAACCCGAUGCAAACUGCGAAUACCGGAGAAUGUUAUCACGGGAGACACACGGCGGGUGCUAACGUCCGUCGUGAAGAGGGAAACAACCCAGACCGCCAGCUAAGGUCCCAAAGUCAUGGUUAAGUGGGAAACGAUGUGGGAAGGCCCAGACAGCCAGGAUGUUGGCUUAGAAGCAGCCAUCAUUUAAAGAAAGCGUAAUAGCUCACUGGUCGAGUCGGCCUGCGCGGAAGAUGUAACGGGGCUAAACCAUGCACCGAAGCUGCGGCAGCGACGCUUAUGCGUUGUUGGGUAGGGGAGCGUUCUGUAAGCCUGCGAAGGUGUGCUGUGAGGCAUGCUGGAGGUAUCAGAAGUGCGAAUGCUGACAUAAGUAACGAUAAAGCGGGUGAAAAGCCCGCUCGCCGGAAGACCAAGGGUUCCUGUCCAACGUUAAUCGGGGCAGGGUGAGUCGACCCCUAAGGCGAGGCCGAAAGGCGUAGUCGAUGGGAAACAGGUUAAUAUUCCUGUACUUGGUGUUACUGCGAAGGGGGGACGGAGAAGGCUAUGUUGGCCGGGCGACGGUUGUCCCGGUUUAAGCGUGUAGGCUGGUUUUCCAGGCAAAUCCGGAAAAUCAAGGCUGAGGCGUGAUGACGAGGCACUACGGUGCUGAAGCAACAAAUGCCCUGCUUCCAGGAAAAGCCUCUAAGCAUCAGGUAACAUCAAAUCGUACCCCAAACCGACACAGGUGGUCAGGUAGAGAAUACCAAGGCGCUUGAGAGAACUCGGGUGAAGGAACUAGGCAAAAUGGUGCCGUAACUUCGGGAGAAGGCACGCUGAUAUGUAGGUGAAGUCCCUCGCGGAUGGAGCUGAAAUCAGUCGAAGAUACCAGCUGGCUGCAACUGUUUAUUAAAAACACAGCACUGUGCAAACACGAAAGUGGACGUAUACGGUGUGACGCCUGCCCGGUGCCGGAAGGUUAAUUGAUGGGGUCAGCGCAAGCGAAGCUCUUGAUCGAAGCCCCGGUAAACGGCGGCCGUAACUAUAACGGUCCUAAGGUAGCGAAAUUCCUUGUCGGGUAAGUUCCGACCUGCACGAAUGGCGUAAUGAUGGCCAGGCUGUCUCCACCCGAGACUCAGUGAAAUUGAACUCGCUGUGAAGAUGCAGUGUACCCGCGGCAAGACGGAAAGACCCCGUGAACCUUUACUAUAGCUUGACACUGAACAUUGAGCCUUGAUGUGUAGGAUAGGUGGGAGGCUUUGAAGUGUGGACGCCAGUCUGCAUGGAGCCGACCUUGAAAUACCACCCUUUAAUGUUUGAUGUUCUAACGUUGACCCGUGAUCCGGGUUGCGGACAGUGUCUGGUGGGUAGUUUGACUGGGGCGGUCUCCUCCUAAAGAGUAACGGAGGAGCACGAAGGUUGGCUAAUCCUGGUCGGACAUCAGGAGGUUAGUGCAAUGGCAUAAGCCAGCUUGACUGCGAGCGUGACGGCGCGAGCAGGUGCGAAAGCAGGUCAUAGUGAUCCGGUGGUUCUGAAUGGAAGGGCCAUCGCUCAACGGAUAAAAGGUACUCCGGGGAUAACAGGCUGAUACCGCCCAAGAGUUCAUAUCGACGGCGGUGUUUGGCACCUCGAUGUCGGCUCAUCACAUCCUGGGGCUGAAGUAGGUCCCAAGGGUAUGGCUGUUCGCCAUUUAAAGUGGUACGCGAGCUGGGUUUAGAACGUCGUGAGACAGUUCGGUCCCUAUCUGCCGUGGGCGCUGGAGAACUGAGGGGGGCUGCUCCUAGUACGAGAGGACCGGAGUGGACGCAUCACUGGUGUUCGGGUUGUCAUGCCAAUGGCACUGCCCGGUAGCUAAAUGCGGAAGAGAUAAGUGCUGAAAGCAUCUAAGCACGAAACUUGCCCCGAGAUGAGUUCUCCCUGACUCCUUGAGAGUCCUGAAGGAACGUUGAAGACGACGACGUUGAUAGGCCGGGUGUGUAAGCGCAGCGAUGCGUUGAGCUAACCGGUACUAAUGAACCGUGAGGCUUAACCUUACAACGCCGAAGCUGUU